GACGUAGGGCGCGAGCGUUGUCCGGAUUUAUUGGGCGUAAAGAGCUCGUAGGCGGCUUGUUGCGUCGACUGUGAAAACCCGCGGCUUAACCGCGGGCUUGCAGUUGAUACGGGCAGGCUAGAGUUCGGUAGGGGAGACUGGAAUUCCUGGUGUAGCGGUGAAAUGCGCAGAUAUCAGGAGGAACACCGGUGGCGAAGGCGGGUCUCUGGGCCGAUACUGACGCUGAGGAGCGAAAGCGUGGGGAGCGAACAGG
RNAcentral lists this ribosomal RNA (253 nucleotides) under uncultured bacterium. Its description in RNAcentral is "partial 16S ribosomal RNA". It matches the Rfam family "Bacterial small subunit ribosomal RNA", at positions 524 to 776 of the family's 1533-position model. The record is from RNAcentral.